Molecule: ribosomal RNA, 415 nt
Filed under: uncultured bacterium
Lineage: Bacteria
Description: bacterial SSU rRNA
Rfam family: Bacterial small subunit ribosomal RNA
Source: RNAcentral
GUAACGCGUAUCCAACCUUCCCUAUAGUAGAGAAUAGCCCGGCGAAAGUCGGAUUAAUGCUCUAUGUUGUUCAAUGCAGACAUCUAAGUUGAACCAAAGGUUUACCGCUAUAGGAUGGGGAUGCGUCUGAUUAGGUUGUUGGCGGGGUAACGGCCCACCAAGCCGUCGAUCAGUAGGGGUUCUGAGAGGAAGGUCCCCCACAUUGGAACUGAGACACGGUCCAAACUCCUACGGGAGGCAGCAGUGAGGAAUAUUGGUCAAUGGACGGAAGUCUGAACCAGCCAAGUAGCCGUGCAGGAUGACCGGCCCUAGUGGGUUAGUAAACUGUCUUUUAUACGAGGAUAAAGUCGGGGACGUGUUCCCGUUUGUAGGUACUGUAUGAAUAAGGACCGGCUAAUUCCGUGCCAGCCGCUGC